Molecule: non-coding RNA, 102 nt
Organism: Peromyscus maniculatus bairdii (prairie deer mouse)
Lineage: Eukaryota; Metazoa; Chordata; Mammalia; Rodentia; Cricetidae
Source: RefSeq, a predicted model, not a curated record
UUUAUAGGUGAUUGAGUCCAUUGAUAUUAAGGGAUAUUAAUUACCAGUGAUUGUUAAUUCCUGUUAUCUUUUCGUGGUAGUGUGUGUGUACUUCUCUCUUUG